This 497-nucleotide ribosomal RNA is filed under the name uncultured bacterium. RNAcentral describes it as "partial 16S ribosomal RNA". It matches the Rfam family "Bacterial small subunit ribosomal RNA", at positions 28 to 508 of the family's 1533-position model. The record is from RNAcentral.
GAUGAACGCUGGCGGCGUGCCUAAUACAUGCAAGUCGAGCGACCGAAGGAGAACUUUCCCCCCCUGCGGUUACCGCCGGCCGGGUGAUUACCACUUGGAUAACCACCUAUAAAGCCUGGGUUACCUUCGGGAACCCGGACUUAAUACCGGAAAAUUAUUUAAACGGCUGGGUCAAUAGUUAAAGGCGGGUUUUCUUUUACUUAUAAGAUGAUCCGCGCCGCAUUAGCUAGUUGGUAAGGUAACGGCUUACCAAGGCAACGAUGCGUAGCCGACCUGAGAGGGUGAUCGGCCACACUGGAACUGAGACACGGUCCAGACUCCUACGGGAGGCAGCAGUAGGGAAUCUUCCGCAAUGGGCGAAAGCCUGACGGAGCAACGCCGCGUGAGUGAUGAAGGGCUUCGGAUCGUAAAACUCUGUUAUUAGGGAAGAACAAAUGUGUAAGUAACUAUGCACGUCUUGACGGUACCUAAUCAGAAAGCCACGGCUAACUACGUGC